CCCUGAUGUUAGCGGCGGACGGGUGAGUAACACGUGGGUAACCUGCCUGUAAGACUGGGAUAACUCCGGGAAACCGGGGCUAAUACCGGAUGGUUGUUUGAACCGCAUGGUUCAAACAUAAAAGGUGGCUUCGGCUACCACUUACAGAUGGACCCGCGGCGCAUUAGCUAGUUGGUGAGGUAACGGCUCACCAAGGCGACGAUGCGUAGCCGACCUGAGAGGGUGAUCGGCCACACUGGGACUGAGACACGGCCCAGACUCCUACGGGAGGCAGCAGUAGGGAAUCUUCCGCAAUGGACGAAAGUCUGACGGAGCAACGCCGCGUGAGUGAUGAAGGUUUUCGGAUCGUAAAGCUCUGUUGUUAGGGAAGAACAAGUACCGUUCGAAUAGGGCGGUACCUUGACGGUACCUAACCAGAAAGCCACGGCUAACUACGUGCCAGCAGCCGCGGUAAUACGUAGGUGGCAAGCGUUGUCCGGAAUUAUUGGGCGUAAAGGGCUCGCAGGCGGUUUCUUAAGUCUGAUGUGAAAGCCCCCGGCUCAACCGGGGAGGGUCAUUGGAAACUGGGGAACUUGAGUGCAGAAGAGGAGAGUGGAAUUCCACGUGUAGCGGUGAAAUGCGUAGAGAUGUGGAGGAACACCAGUGGCGAAGGCGACUCUCUGGUCUGUAACUGACGCUGAGGAGCGAAAGCGUGGGGAGCGAACAGGAUU
This 710-nucleotide ribosomal RNA is filed under the name Bacillus subtilis. RNAcentral's name for it is "bacterial SSU rRNA". It matches the Rfam family "Bacterial small subunit ribosomal RNA", at positions 84 to 779 of the family's 1533-position model. The record is from RNAcentral. Lineage: Bacteria; Bacillati; Bacillota; Bacilli; Caryophanales; Bacillaceae.